GGCUGGUCUGAAGGUAGUGAGUUCUCUCAAUUGAUUGUUCACAGCCAGUUACAGAUUGAACUCACUUUCCCCUCUUCUCACAGCUGCACUUGACCAGUCUUUA
This 103-nucleotide Y RNA is filed under the name Meriones unguiculatus (Mongolian gerbil). Its description in RNAcentral is "Y RNA (ENSMUGG00000021589.1)". It matches the Rfam family "Y RNA". From Rfam's summary of the family: Y RNAs are components of the Ro ribonucleoprotein particle (Ro RNP), in association with Ro60 and La proteins. The Y RNAs and Ro60 and La proteins are well conserved, but the function of the Ro RNP is not known. In humans the RNA component can be one of four small RNAs -- hY1, hY3, hY4 and hY5. The record is from RNAcentral. Lineage: Eukaryota; Metazoa; Chordata; Mammalia; Rodentia; Muridae.